This 326-nucleotide ribosomal RNA is filed under the name uncultured eukaryote. RNAcentral describes it as "partial 18S ribosomal RNA". It matches the Rfam family "Eukaryotic small subunit ribosomal RNA", at positions 1470 to 1796 of the family's 1831-position model. The record is from RNAcentral.
CCCUUAGAUGUUCUGGGCCGCACGCGCGCUACACUGAUGCAUUCAACGAGUCCAACCUUGACCGAGAGGUCCGGGUAAUCUUUGAAACUGCAUCGUGAUGGGGCUAGAUUAUUGCAAUUAUUAAUCUUCAACGAGGAAUGCCUAGUAAGCGUGAUUCAUCAAAUCGCGUUGAUUACGUCCCUGCCCUUUGUACACAUCGCCCGUCGCUCCUACCGAUUGAGUGUGUUGGUGAGGAGUUUGGAUUGGCCUCGGAAGGUGGUUCGCCACCGUCCGUAGCUGAGAAGUUCUCCAAACCGCCCCACUUAGAGGAAGGAGAAGUCGUAACA